UGCUUAUAAUAGUGAUCGGAGGGU
Molecule: microRNA, 24 nt
Filed under: Medicago truncatula (barrel medic)
Lineage: Eukaryota; Viridiplantae; Streptophyta; Magnoliopsida; Fabales; Fabaceae
Description: mtr-miR5287b
Source: miRBase by way of RNAcentral